Molecule: ribosomal RNA, 253 nt
Filed under: uncultured bacterium
Lineage: Bacteria
Description: partial 16S ribosomal RNA
Rfam family: Bacterial small subunit ribosomal RNA
Source: RNAcentral
UACAGAGGGUGCGAGCGUUAAUCGGAAUUACUGGGCGUAAAGCGUGCGUAGACGGUUAUUUAAGUCGGAUGUGAAAGCCCCGGGCUCAACCUGGGAAUUGCAUUCGAGACUGAAUAGCUAGGGUGCGGUAGAGGGAAGCGGAAUUUCCGGUGUAGCGGUGAAAUGCGUAGAUAUCGGGAAGAACACCCGUGGCGAAGGCGGCUCUCUGGGACGGUACUGACGCUGAGACGCGAAAGCGUGGGGAGCGAACAGG